GGAUAGGAAAAAAAUAGCUUUUCUACCCCAAUUUAAAUAGGAAAAACCUCGAAAAAAAAUAAUAGUAAAAAUAGGAAAUAAAUACUUUGACAAAUAGGAAUUAAAUAGCCCAAUAAAAUAGGAAUUAAAUAGCAAUUAAAUAGUGUUUGGUUCUACAAGGGAUAAAACCAUAAACAUGGCGUGUAUAAACUGGGAGUGCAACACUCUCAGUAAUAUGGAAUUUUUAUUAAUAUCACGUGAUCAUAAUCAGCCAAAUAAAUUAUAAUUUAAUAAGGUGUCAUAUAAACCCCGCAGAAACGUUUUAACAUGCACUAGCUUAAUGAAUUUUCAGCAAAAUAGUCGGCUCAAGGCUAUACAUUUACAUUUUAAAUUAAGCUUAUAUAAAUAUAUUUACAAUAUAUAAUAUACAGUACAUUUAGAUUAAGGCCUGUUUUUGACGCCGAAUUUACUCGUUUAAUUUCUAUUUGAGAGUAAUGGGCAUUUGUUCUAUUCUACACAGUACAUUGAGUGUGACGUUGUCGACGUAAGCAGGUUUAUGGCAUAAUUCACAGAGAAUGACUCGCGUUAAAUUGAGAAGCAUUAAAUUUAACGAAUUAAUAAAUUCGACGGAAAUUCGAUGUCUCAAACAGACUUUAUAAUUUAAAUGGUCACUAAUCUAGAACAUUAUUUCCUGCAUUUCAAGUAACAUGUGGUAACUCCCAGGAGCACCUCCCCAAAGGCCUGGGGAAGAUACUUUCUCUUUCUAGUCUGGAAAUCGGAAAAUAAAACUCGUCCUUCAGAACAUGCCCUGACCACUGAACACAAAAUGAUUCAGCUUAUAAGACCACAUAACAUAGCCUAAUAGCCUCAGUAUUUGGAAAGAUUGGACGUAUCGUAUAUACUUAGCUAUUAAUGGCAAAACGUUUUUUUCAAAAACAUAUUUCUAAUAGUUCGAUAUAUUAAUAACUUACUGGUCGA
This is a non-coding RNA of Paramuricea clavata, 957 nucleotides long. The record is from the annotation of a GenBank genome assembly. Lineage: Eukaryota; Metazoa; Cnidaria; Anthozoa; Malacalcyonacea; Plexauridae.